Long non-coding RNA from Passer domesticus (house sparrow), 4808 nucleotides. RefSeq lists it as uncharacterized. Lineage: Eukaryota; Metazoa; Chordata; Aves; Passeriformes; Passeridae. The record is from RefSeq and is a predicted model, not a curated record. The transcript has 4 exons.
ACUGCAGCAUUUGUCCUGUUUUAUUACAGUGUAGCUUGAAGGGAAGAAGUCAGAACUGCCUGGGAUAGCAGAAACAUGAAAAAAUCAAUGCCUUGUGCAGAGAAUAAACAUGAAGGGGAAAAACUUGGAAAAAACCCCUCCUCAUAAAAGGUGUCAAUUAGCUGGUUAAUCAGAAAAGAGAGUAGAUAUAAGCUUUCAUGGAAAAAUGUAGUAAUGACUGUUCCUUGAAAGAAGGUAAACGUAUCUUUGAGUAAUGGUUGGCUGGAAAAAUAGUGGACAGACUGAGGGAAAAUCCUAAAUAUGUUUGUUUUGAGGAGACUAACAAAUAGUGAUGCAGUCUUCUGAUUUUGAUUUUUUUUCUUCUGAAUGUAUUUUAUUAAACUGAGGGGAGAAAACUUAAACCCCUGGUAAACCCAGAUGAGGAUUUUUCCUUGAACAAGAAUAACAUACACACAAAUGUCUAGCUCUAUUUUAGAUUCCUAAAUUUUAGACUCCUCAGAAAUGGUUAAACACAUGGUUUAAAAAAAGAUAAUUAUUAUCCUGGCUCUGCAGUAGGUUUAGAAUUAAUCUGUUUUAUUUCUGGAAACAAUGUGGCCUUACUGUGGUCAUGUUAGAAAGAGGAGUGAGCUGUUAUGCAAACAGGCUACAGGGAGCUGCAGCCAUUCCCGGGGGGGCUCGGUGCAUCCCGGUGUCCAGCUCAGCUGGAUGGAGAUAAAGCAAAGGCAGGCUUGAAAGAGGAGCAUUAUGCAGUUAAUCUCAUGCUGGCUCUAAAACUAACAUCUCUGACAGAAAGGGUCACAACAAAGGAGUGAUACAGAGAAAAGGGUGAGGAGCAUGAAAUGAGUGAGGUGUCACCGUUCAAUGAGCAAUUUGAACUGACACAUGCAAUUGUUUGGGGUGGACAGUAUCUGACUCUGGCAAACUGCAUAGGAUGGGUAUGUUCUCUGCAAGGAGCAGGGUAUAGCUCCUAGUAUGAAUAAUGGAAAAUGUCUCCCACCUUCCUUGUUCAUCUUCCUGGUAGCUCAUAGCUUUGCAUCAUUGUAAAUUCAGCAGGUGCCAUUUUUACUACUGUUAUUCUCAGUAUUUUAUUGCUACUGAAAUAAUUGGGGCUUUCUUUAUGGAACAUUAUCCUCAAUGACAGGUGAAUCUCAAGUAUCUGGAAUUUCAUUUAUUUUGGACAGGCAUCCUAAUAUUUAGAUGAACCUUUGAAUCAUACAUGAACUGGAAGUCUCUGAACCUGAGCUGAAAAUGUGACAAGUACAACAUUCUUCACGAGUUUUCAAACACUUUUGAUUUGAGUUGCACCUAGAAAUACAGAGAGAGCAAUGUCCCUAUAGUAUGCUGGCAUUUCAAGUGGGGGAAAAAAGAAAGGCUUAAAAGUUUGUCCAGAGUGCAGAAGAAUAAAGUCCAUCUUACUAUAUGCAGAAUUUUAAAAUUAGUAAGGGGGUAGUGUAUUUUUCUAGUUUAAAAAGUUGAGAUUUUAUAUCUUAAGAGGAAAAAAAGUUGUCUAAAAGUACCUUGAUGAGUGAAAAUCAUCCUGUCUAAUUACAGACUUCUAAAAGUUGGAUAUCUGAGUCUGCUCUCCCUUUAUAGUUAAUAGAAUCAUCUUCAGAACACCAUUUGCUGACCUGUCUUAGAUGCCUAUCUUAGGAUGAGAUGAAUGGCUCUCUGGAGACCUCUGUCUCUUGAAAAGAACUGAGGAUAACAACAUUUUCAAAACACUAAGGCUGUGAAAAAGAAUUUCAAAAAACUUUUAAUCAGACCAUGUGGAAGACAACUAGAGUGAUUCCUGGUAUUUGCAGGGAUCAAGGGCAGGAGCUGUGGAAAGCAGUGUUUCUCUUCAGUUUUGUAUUUAUUUAUGGGUUUAUUAUUGGUAUGACUGAAAAGAACGCAGGUAGCAAUUUGUUCCACAUCAGUUUCAAAAUAACUUAGGGAAAAAAUAUUGUAUUCCAGUCCAAAUAUUUGUUCCUUUUUUAUUUUAUCCCAUUAUUUCUGGACUUCUAGCUGUCUGAAUCUAAGAAUUCAGUGAUGAUACCCAGAUAAUGAAGUGCAAAUAGAUUAUGGUGAUAGAUUUUUUUUUUUUUUUGCCCUUGACAAUUUCAGAACUACUUUGCUGACUGCUUGAUCUCAAUUUUUUGUAACUUCUAAAAUCAUAAAAUCUUAGAAUACCAUGAGCUGGAAGUGACUCACAAGGAUCAUUGAAGUCUAACUCCUGAUCCUGCACAGGACAGCCCCAAGAAUCACACCACAUGCCUAAAAUAGUUGUAUAGCUUUGAAGAGAUGUUAUUUUAAAUAUUUUUCCCCAACAAUGUAGACAUAAAGGUCUCCUUUUUUCCUCUUUAACAUAGACUGACCUUGAGCUCUGAAUCAGCACUAUAUAUAUAUAUUCAGAAGCCAGUGACAGCUUUAUUUAUUAUGCAAAAUCCAGGAUGAGAACAAAUUUGGGGCUAUAUUGCACUGGAAAAUGCCAAACCCCAGUUUUUUAACUGGAUCCACAGUGUAAGUUGUAUUGCAGUUGGUGAGACCAAGCCAUCUUACAGUUACUGAAAGAAUGUUUUAGGUAAUUUAGAGACCUCAGGGCAUUUACCAUUCACACCUUUCACUUCCCAUGCUGUAGGUACAGCUAUGCAGUUAUCUAGUUUGGCAGUCAGGAGACAAACAAUGCUUCAUUUCUGUGACUGUGGAUACUGAUAGUUGUGUAUGUCAAAGCAAAUUGUGUAUGCUGUUCUACCAGCAUGGCUUGUGUCAGAAAUGGUGUGGCCAGCAGGACUGGGACAGUGAUCAUCCCACUGCCCUCAGCUCUGGUGAGGCCACACCUCAGAGCCAGUCCUCAGUUUUGGGCCCCUCGCUACAAGAAAGAUGCUGAUAUGCUGGAGCAUGUCCAAAGUAGGGCAGAGGAGCUGGUGACAGGUUGGGAGCACAAGUCCUAUCAGGAGUGCUGAGGAAGCUUAGCCAGGAGAAAAGGAGCCUCAGGGGGACCACCACAACUACCUGAAAUGAGGUUGUAGUGAGGCAGGGGGUCAGUCUCUUCUCCCAGAUAACAAGUGACAGGAUGAGAGGAAAUGGCCUCAGGUUGCAGAAAGGGACAUUCAGGUUGGGUAUUAGGAAAAUUUUCUUCACAGAAAUGGUAGCCAGGCAUUGGAAUAGCCUACACAGGAAAGUGGUUGAGUCACCACCCCUGGUGGUAUUAGAAAGAUGUGUACACGUGGCACUGAGGGACAUGAUUUAGUGGUGGACAUGGCAGUGCUGGGUUAAGGGUUGGGCUCAAUGAUUGUACAGGUCUUUUCCAACUUAGAUAUUUCUGUGAUUCUGUUUGACUUUCAGUCCAGCCUGCAGGGGGCAGGAAUGUUAGCAUGCUCAGAACAUGGUAAACUUCGAAUGUUCUAAAAGAUCUCUGGAAAACACUAAGGGUCUUAACUGUAAGAGGUAGUCAAUCCUGAAGUGGUUGAGUGGAAUGGUAAACAGGUUUUACAUGUAAAUGUUUAGAAUAUGCCCCAAAACUCCUGUGUGACAAUGCUUCUCAAGUAAUGAGGUUAGCCAUUUGCCUCAUGUUAACUUUAACCACAUUCUCCCAUUGAUGGAAUUCUCAGGCAAGCUGAAGAGCACACUGUCACAGUGGGCAUGCAGAGAAUGAAAGCCAUGCAUGAAAAAGAGCUCCCAUCCACCAUCCCUGCCCAUAAAGUGAGACCACCACGCUCACAGGAGGCCGCAGAGGGAACAUCAGCUGCCAGAUGAGGGAGUAAACCUGAGUGGCACCCGUCCAGGAUAAAGGAGGAGUCUGAAAGAUUGACAGCUGGAGAGAUAUUUUCCUGUGUCAGUAUGUGCGGGGAUGUUGAGCAAUUUCUCUGGAGAGGACUGAUGCUACUUAUUUGUAUCCCACUAGCAACCUCCCCUGCUACCUGCUGCAGCUGGCCAAGGCUGGAACUCGGCAAGCACUCAUAUGUCUUUUCCAUUUGUUUAAAGCUCAUUAGCAUCCAUUGAGCUGCGCUGUUCCAGCUUCAAUAUAUCAACCUUUACAAAACAUUAGUGCUGUACUGUUGAGGUAAAAGAAAACUAAGUCUCGUUUGAAAUACAAACGUGUAAUGAAAUGCAGCCUUUUGCCCCCCCUUCAGAUCCCAGGGACUGAUGACAGGAUGUCGGUAAAACCCCAGGCAUGCUGUGAAACUCUGACGUCUUUGCUAAGCUGUACCUGUGGAACCACAGCAGCUCUGCAGUAAAACCCACCAUGAAAUCACAGAAAUAUACUGAAGAACUCUCUGCAAUGGCCACCAAUUCUGCUGUCAAACACUAGAAACUGAUGCUUGAUUAGCAAGACUGCAGGUCUGCCCAGUUCCUGCAUUCAGCUCCUGCAUCCAGAACAAGGGAGCAAGCUGGCCCCAUAGCAGUUGCCCAUCUGCCUUGGAGUUCAUGGAGGGGAGGAAGGGCAGAGUUUUGCUCGUAAAGAAAGUAUUCCGAAUUCUUGAACAUUAUUUUAAUAUGCUCCAGAAUAUACUAGCUUUUUCACUGGUGACCUAAAAAGACAAGGUCCCUAUUCAAAAAUUUUCUAGCAUAUAUUUAAAACUUAAAAAAGUAGUAAUAAAAAGCAAACAAUGCAGAAGGAAUGCAAAAAUCUGACAAUCAUAUUGUUAAUAAAAAUUUACAGAUGUCUUUGGGCUUGUUUUAUUUUGUUGCAUUUGUGGAAAAUUAAGUGGAGGCAAAACACAUUAAAUAAUUCAGAAACAACCUACAUUACUGAAAGAUCCAGAGAAAAUUGUUUCAGCUGCGGUCCAGUUCAAUGGGAAGAGACAAUUCUAUUCAAGGAGAAAGGG